This 347-nucleotide ribosomal RNA is filed under the name uncultured bacterium. Its description in RNAcentral is "bacterial SSU rRNA". It matches the Rfam family "Bacterial small subunit ribosomal RNA", at positions 28 to 396 of the family's 1533-position model. The record is from RNAcentral.
GAUGAACGCUGGCGGUAUGCCUAAUACAUGCAAGUCGUGCGGAAAGGCCUCUUCGGAGGUACUCGAGCGGCGGACGGCAGAGUAACGCGUAGGAACAUACCCCAAACUGAGGGAUAACUGCUCGAAAGAGUAGCUAAUACCGCAUGUGGUCUUCGGACUAAAGCUUCGGCGGUUUGGGAAUGGCCUGCGUUCGAUUAGCUAGUUGGUGAGGUAAUUGCUCACCAAGGCGACGAUCGAUAGCUGGUCUGAGAGGAUGAUCAGCCUGACUGGAACUGAGACACGGUCCAGACUCCUACGGGAGGCAGCAGUAGGGAUUUCACAAUGGGCGAAAGCCUGAUGGAGCAAUA